Molecule: ribosomal RNA, 468 nt
Filed under: uncultured bacterium
Lineage: Bacteria
Description: partial 16S ribosomal RNA
Rfam family: Bacterial small subunit ribosomal RNA
Source: RNAcentral
GACGAACGCUGGCGGCGUGCUUAACACAUGCAAGUCGAACGGAAAGGCCCUGCUUUUGUGGGGUGCUCGAGUGGCGAACGGGUGAGUAACACGUGAGUAACCUGCCCUUGACUUUGGGAUAACUUCAGGAAACUGGGGCUAAUAACGGAUAGGAGCUCCUGCUGCAUGGUGGGGGUUGGAAAGUUUCGGCGGUUGGGGAUGGACUCGCGGCUUAUCAGCUUGUUGGUGGGGUAGUGGCUUACCAAGGCUUUGACGGGUAGCCGGCCUGAGAGGGUGACCGGCCACAUUGGGACUGAGAUACGGCCCAGACUCCUACGGGAGGCAGCAGGGGGGAAUAUUGCACAAUGGGCGGAAGCCUGAUGCAGCAACGCCGCGUGCGGGAUGACGGCCUUCGGGUUGUAAACCGCUUUCGCCUGUGACGAAGCGUGAGUGACGGUAAUGGGUAAAGAAGCACCGGCUAACUACGUG